AGCUAAAUAGUUUAAAUUAAAACAUUAAUUUUGUAAAUUAAAAAUAAAAUUAUUUUUUUAGCUU
Molecule: transfer RNA, 64 nt
Filed under: Asobara japonica
Lineage: Eukaryota; Metazoa; Arthropoda; Insecta; Hymenoptera; Braconidae
Description: tRNA-Thr
Source: RNAcentral